Callithrix jacchus (white-tufted-ear marmoset) is the source of this 1517-nucleotide long non-coding RNA. The record is from Ensembl. NCBI's taxonomy places the organism in Eukaryota, Metazoa, Chordata, Mammalia, Primates, Cebidae.
AGUCCCUGAGGCUCUCAGUUUGGAAGGCUGCUGGCUACCUGGAUGGAGCCACUUUGCUGUUUUAUUUGGGUGUCUGCCUCUCAAUUCCUUUAGUGCCACCAGAGUAGGUUUCUUCACGGACAAGCUGGCUCUUGGUAAGUGGAGCCCAGACAUGAUACUCGAACAUGGAAUGAAGGGUUGCCUGAGCAACAGAGAGAGGAGAGGCUAAGCUGAAGGUACCCUGAAAGCUCUUGGAAAAAUUCCUUGGGGUAAGUUGGGGAAGCUGGAAAAGUAGCCCAGGAUCUUCUGAAGGAUUCUCCCAGGUGAGUUAGGGAGAACUCAAAUUAGAUAGAGAACUCUUUAGGAAAGAAAGAAAUCUCCCAGCAUUAGUUGGGGGAGCUCAGAAUUAGCCCAAUAACUCUUUUUUUUUUUUUUUUUUUUUUUAGACGGAGUUUUGCUCUUGUUACCCAGGCUGGAGUGCAAUGGCACGAUCUCGGCUCACCGCAACCUCCGCCUCUUGGGUUCAGGCAAUUCUCCUCCCUCAGCCUCCUGGGUAGCUAGGAUUACAGGCACGCGCCAUCAUGCCCGGCUAAUUUUUUGUAUUUUUAGUAGAGACAGGGUUUCACCAUGUUGACCAGGAUGGUCUCGAUCUCUUGACCUCGUGAUCCACCCGCCUCGGCCUCCCAAAGUGCUGGGAUUACAGGCUUGAGCCACCGCGCCCGGACAGCCCGAUAACUCUUUAAAAAAUAUCCCAGGGUGAGCUGGGGGUGCUCAGUAAUACUGGGAUAACAUGGGCCAAAGAUCAAGCAAACGCGAGACUUACUUGGUGUGGUCUGUUUGGGCUGUGGUGCGUUCUCCUUGGGCUGUGGUGCGUUCUCUUCUCCUUGGGCUGUGGUGCGUUCUCUUCUCCUUGGGCUGUGGUGCGUUCUCUUCUCCUUGGGCUGUGGUGCGUUCUCUUCUCCUUGGGCUGUGGUGCGUUCUCUUCUCCUUGGGCUGUGGUGCGUUCUCUUCUCCUUGGGCUGUGGUGCGUUCUCUUCUCCUUGGGCUGUGGUGCGUUCUCUUCUCCUUGGUCUGUGGUGCGUUCUCUUCUUCUUGGGCUGUGGUGCGUUCUCCUUGGGCUGUGGUGCGUUCUCUUCUCCUUGGGCUGUGGUGCGUUCUCUUCUCCUUGGGCUGUGGUGCGUUCUCUUCUCCUUGGGCUGUGGUGUGUUCUCCUUGGGCUGUGGUGCAUUCUGCCCUGGAGAUGUUUCAGACAGAUGAUGAGGAAGCAGAUUCAGGAGAGGAGAGGAUGAUUAGGAUGGAAUGCAGUGGCCUGAUCCUGGCUCAUGGCAACCUCUGCUUCCCAGAUACAAGGCAUUCUCCUGCCUCAGCCUCCUGGGUAGCUUCAUCACAGGUGGACCAGCAGAGAAGCCAGAAGCCUAGGGGAAAGAGAAUUCCACAGGUUGGAGAGGGCAAGAAUAACAUAGUCAAAGCGUGCAAAGAGGAAAGGGAAGAUGGAGAAUUUGCAAAAGCUGUUGAUGUUGAGUACAGUAAGUUUCGGG